UGGGGAAUUUUGGACAAUGGGCGCAAGCCUGAUCCAGCCAUGCCGCGUGCGGGAAGAAGGCCUUCGGGUUGUAAACCGCUUUGUCAGGGAAGAAAUCUUCUGAGUUAAUACCUCGGGAGGAUGACGGUACCUGAAGAAUAAGCACCGGCUAACUACGUGCCAGCAGCCGCGGUAAUACGUAGGGUGCAAGCGUUAAUCGGAAUUACUGGGCGUAAAGCGUGCGCAGGCGGUUUUGUAAGACAGAGGUGAAAUCCCCGGGCUCAACCUGGGAACUGCCUUUGUGACUGCAAGGCUUGAUGCGGCAGAGGGGGAUGGAAUUCCGCGUGUAGCAGUGAAAUGCGUAGAUAUGCGGAGGAACACCGAUGGCGAAGGCAAUCCCCUGGGCCUGCACUGACGCUCAUGCACGAAAGCGUGGGGAGCAAACAGGAUUAGAUAGCCCUGGUAGUCCACGCCCUAAACGAUGUCAACUGGUUGUUGGGAAGGUUCCUUCUCAGUAACGUAGCUAACGCGUGAAGUUGACCGCCUGGGGAGUACGGCCGCAAGGUUGGAAAACU
This 554-nucleotide ribosomal RNA is filed under the name uncultured bacterium. Its description in RNAcentral is "partial 16S ribosomal RNA". It matches the Rfam family "Bacterial small subunit ribosomal RNA", at positions 355 to 901 of the family's 1533-position model. The record is from RNAcentral.